RNAcentral lists this ribosomal RNA (496 nucleotides) under uncultured bacterium. Its description in RNAcentral is "partial 16S ribosomal RNA". It matches the Rfam family "Bacterial small subunit ribosomal RNA", at positions 29 to 507 of the family's 1533-position model. The record is from RNAcentral.
AUGAACGCUGGCGGCGUGCCUAAUACAUGCAAGUCGAGCGAACAGACGAGGAGCUUGCUCCUCUGACGUUAGCGGCGGACGGGUGAGUAACACGUGGAUAACCUACCUAUAAGACUGGGAUAACUUCGGGAAACCGGAGCUAAUACCGGAUAAUAUAUUGCACCGCAUGGUUCAAUAGUGAAAGACGGUUUUGCUGGCACUUAUAGAUGGAUCCGCGCCGCAUUAGCUAGUUGGUAAGGUAACGGCUUACCAAGGCAACGAUGCGUAGCCGACCUGAGAGGGUGAUCGGCCACACUGGAACUGAGACACGGUCCAGACUCCUACGGGAGGCAGCAGUAGGGAAUCUUCCGCAAUGGGCGAAAGCCUGACGGAGCAACGCCGCGUGAGUGAUGAAGGUCUUCGGAUCGUAAAACUCUGUUAUUAGGGAAGAACAAAUGUGUAAGUAACUAUGCACGUCUUGACGGUACCUAAUCAGAAAGCCACGGCUAACUACGUG